CAUCACGGGGAGGCCCCCCUUUGCCACUGUGACAUCACAGUGAGGUGUCCCCACUGCCCAUGUCUGUCUGUCCCAGGACAUGUGGACAUUUCCCUACAGUUGCCAGGUGGUGUCCGAGAAUCCAUCAGAAGGGGCUGUUUUUGUGCAGUCCAACAGGGAAUAGCCUAAGAUGGAAGGAAUUCUGGUUUUGUGGCAUUGCACCUUUCCAUGAUUCCUGUGUUUGGCCUCCUUGCUUCCUAACUGCUGGCAGCACAGCAAAGUGUAUUCGAGGUCUGUGGUGAUGUAGGUUUGUCCUCAAGGGCAAAAGAGAGGAACUUUCCUAGCCUGUUUCACCCAGGCCACCAACAUGUCCUGGCAAUUUUAACAGACUGACCUCGAACUCCCUUUGUCCCGUACAUGGUUGUUUCCAUCCCCAGGACUGCACACAAGGCAGCUGAGCCUUGUUCGGUUUGAACUGCUGAUGACAAACCAGGGAGAAGCUUUAGGGUUCUUCCCUGUCCUGAUGGAAAGACAUGGCCUCUCUGGAUGUGCAGCCACCGGACUCGCCCCUCCUGCUUCCCCACUUCAUCAGGCACCGAGUUCCCAGCUCUCCUCCAGCUUCAAUAAUAACAACAACAUCACUGGAAAAACAGCAGGCAGGAAGAUGACACGCAGGAGCCGUGACAAACAGCUAAACAUCUGACUUGGAGUUAUUAGAGUGUCAUCCCCUGGGCAUGUGACAAACCCCAUGUUAUGGAUCCGUGUGCUAGAGGGAGGAACUGGAAAUGGGGUUGGCACAACCCACAGGCUAUCAAAACAAUGUAGUUUUUCUUAACCCAGAGUGUCAGACCAGCUCUGAACACGUACUGUACUGCUGUGCCUGCAGCUCACACAGAGGGACAUUCUGACAGGGAUUUCCCAAGCGCUGCCAGUGCCGUAGCCAUAGAAGCAGGAGAUAAAAAUAUUUGCACAGAACCUGGGGGCAGGGUUUGCAGUCUGUGCUGUACCACACAGCGCUCCUGCCCAACAAUACUGUUCAGCUAAUUGUAGGUCUGGACUCCCCUGGAUAUUUCUUUCAUUAGUACCUCCCGUGGGAUACCUUUACUCCGUUUGUGCCUCCACAGGCUGGCUUUAUCUGUUUUUAAGCCUUUGUUGUGGAUUCAGCAUAUCAAAGCCUGUCUUUGUCAGGACACUUCUACUUUGUACUCUGAAUGGGGAUUAAACUACACAUGGUGUACCUGGAAGCACUUGUGAAUCUGUUCUGCCUGAUGUCCAUCCCUGCCUGGCGUCUCUCCCGUAUCCCUCAAGACUGGUCUGGUGACUUCAGAGCCAGUCUGGACACAUUGGUCUUGGAUGAGGGCACAGGAUUAGUCACUGCCACCAAACAAUGUCUAAUUGUGUGUAUGUUUUCCUUUCCUCCAGAAAAAGACUCUGUGUUGUCUGUGCUGCCUCACUGCUCUAUUUUUCUGCAGUUUCUUAUUUUUCACAAAAAAAGCCACGCGUUCCUCCCAAACUUAUUGUAUAGCCCAGCCUCAGCUGAAGCGGCUUAAACUCCUACAAAUGGUGUCACGAGGAGAUUAAGGAACAUACCUUGUGGCAUAAUGAAAAGCAGCAAAUGACAGCAAAAGGCUUAUCCUGCCUUUUCACAAAACACGUGAUCUUUUUCGACUCUGUCCUCGUUUUUGGAUUACUUCAGAGGAGAGAACUUUGAAUUGUAGCAGAUCUGCCAGCAAGAGCGAACUGUCUCCAGUUACCUGUGCCUGGUCUUUGCUUUCUUACACAACCUUCUAUGUUUAAAUAGAGUAGUCUGCUUCUGCUUUUUGUUUGUUUGUUGUAAUCUGGUGUUUUAUUGGCUCACCUGAAGUCAGUUUAGUAGGAAACAAUCCCUGAGCAAGUGAAGUUAUAUCUAUCAUUAUUGUCACUUCAAAUACUUCAGAUGUCUUGCCUGUAAAAAACCCCUUCAAGGUACCAGCAUAGCACCUGAAAACUAGGAGUGAGACAAGCAAAGAAGGAUGUGAGCAGAUGGGAAGGGACUGGAGAGUUAGACAUGGAAAUCAGCAGGAUUUCCCCGGGGAGUAAACAAGAGCCUUCCAGGAAAUGUUCUGCAGCUUGGGGGACACGUCAUGGGUGAACAGGACUUCAGAGAGCAGCUGAUAAAGAAAGAGACCAGCAUAUUAGGGACAGUGAGAAUUUGGGUGCUUCAGUAAGAAGGGCCAUGCAGGUGUUUCAGAAAGAUGUGAUAUCUGUGUCCUGGGCAUUCAUAUCAAC
Molecule: long non-coding RNA, 2247 nt
Organism: Corapipo altera (White-ruffed manakin)
Lineage: Eukaryota; Metazoa; Chordata; Aves; Passeriformes; Pipridae
Exons: 4
Source: RefSeq, a predicted model, not a curated record